This 408-nucleotide long non-coding RNA is filed under the name Helianthus annuus (common sunflower). Its description in RNAcentral is "hypothetical non coding rna". Lineage: Eukaryota; Viridiplantae; Streptophyta; Magnoliopsida; Asterales; Asteraceae. The record is from RNAcentral.
UGUGUUUAAGGUGGGUUCUUGAUGGAUAAAUAUUUUUUUUUAUGAAUUUGAUGCUUAGAACUUUACUGGAAAUAAUGCAACGGUUGGUGUUGCAGCAGGUAGAAGAAUUAAAACAUGAAUUCUGGCUUCUUGAAGGGAAAAUUUCAAAAAUGCCAUAAGAGCAUUUAAGAUUGGUGUCUCAAGAGUUGGUUAGCUUUUAUAUUUUUUGUGCAGUGUAUGCAUACUAGUAUGAUUUUCUUGAGCUCUUUUACAUUCUCUUGGUUGGUAAAGUUUUAAUUUUGGGGAUUUUUUAACUUUGUAAAUUGGGUUAUGGGGGUGAAAGAAGAAGUUGAAUUAUAGUUGGCGGCAGAUGGGUUACGGCUGGGGGAGAGAGAGAUGGUUGGGUUGGGUUGGAGGUGGUGGCAGCAG